CUUGCUUUCUUUGCUGGCGACCGGCGCACGGGUGAGUAACACGUAUCCAACCUACCCUUUACUCGGGGAUAGCCUUUCGAAAGAAAGAUUAAUACCCGAUAGCAUAAUGAUUCCGCAUGGUUUCAUUAUUAAAGGAUUCCGGUAAAGGAUGGGGAUGCGUUCCAUUAGGUUGUUGGUGAGGUAACGGCUCACCAAGCCUUCGAUGGAUAGGGGUUCUGAGAGGAAGGUCCCCCACAUUGGAACUGAGACACGGUCCAAACUCCUACGGGAGGCAGCAUG
RNAcentral lists this ribosomal RNA (279 nucleotides) under uncultured bacterium. Its description in RNAcentral is "partial 16S ribosomal RNA". It matches the Rfam family "Bacterial small subunit ribosomal RNA", at positions 75 to 353 of the family's 1533-position model. The record is from RNAcentral.